AAAGAGACAAAUCAUGGGUUUCCAUGUCUAAAGUUUGACCGGCCGUCUUAUAUAAUUUUUUUAUAAUUAGUAUUUUAAUUGUUGUUAGAUGAUAAAACAUGAUUAAUACUUUAUGUGCGAUUUGUCUUUUUAUUUUUUUUCAUAAUUUUUUUAAAUAAGACGUCAAACGUUGGAUACGGAAAUCUAGGGUUUGUCUUUUU
Molecule: microRNA precursor, 200 nt
Organism: Oryza sativa Japonica Group (Japanese rice)
Lineage: Eukaryota; Viridiplantae; Streptophyta; Magnoliopsida; Poales; Poaceae
Rfam family: MIR812 microRNA precursor family
Source: Rfam